AGAUAAGAGAAAGCCAAACACCAAAAUGCUGGGAAUUCAAGGAGCGGCAUUCCAGACACUGUGCAACUGAGACAGGCUUUCUAUAGCCCCAUCCAUCUUUGGAGCAUACUCACUGUUGUACCAUUGGAAGGCAAGUGUGAGCCUCAGGAGGAAAGCUGCC
Molecule: long non-coding RNA, 160 nt
Organism: Crotalus tigris (Tiger rattlesnake)
Lineage: Eukaryota; Metazoa; Chordata; Lepidosauria; Squamata; Viperidae
Exons: 3
Source: RefSeq, a predicted model, not a curated record